GGCCUGGUUGGGUGGUCUUGCCGCAAGGUAAGCACUGCUCCGAUCGGGUCUUUCCUUCUGGGGAACCAGCGUGCUCUUAAUUGGGUGCGCUGGGGAUCCAGGACUUUUACUUUGAAAAAAUUAGAGUGUUUAAAGCAGGCUCACGCUUGAAUACAUUAGCAUGGAAUAACGAAAUAGGAC
Molecule: ribosomal RNA, 180 nt
Filed under: uncultured Glomeromycotina
Lineage: Eukaryota; Fungi; Glomeromycota
Description: partial small subunit ribosomal RNA
Source: RNAcentral